This is an RNA transcript of Nicotiana attenuata, 1556 nucleotides long. RefSeq lists it as uncharacterized. The record is from RefSeq and is a predicted model, not a curated record. The transcript is spliced from 5 exons. NCBI's taxonomy places the organism in Eukaryota, Viridiplantae, Streptophyta, Magnoliopsida, Solanales, Solanaceae.
CAUCUGUCCAAAUCUUUAAUCACUCUUUCCUCCUCUUCACAAUUGUUAACAGAGCAACAAAAUCCACUCAACAAUUUCAAAAAAUAAUAUUUUUCCUUAUUCCAAAGUUCUACAUCCAAUAUAUACUAUAGAGUUAUACCCCUAUAGAUUUGCCUUUUAGCUCUACGACACAACAAUGGAGAAUAGUAGUAAUGGUACGAACGGGAAAAGAAUAAGAGCUGAAGAUGUGAUAUGUAAGCUCAAAGACGACGGUGAUUUCGAUAAACUUCGCCUCAAAAUUCUCCGCAAACUCAAAGAAAACGAAGAGUUGCGGAAUAGCAUAAUAGCCACUGUGAAAGAAUCAGCAGCACUUAACCGUCCAGGUGCAGAAAAUAUGAAACCAAGGCAACUGUCGGAUGCUAUAUAUCAAGAAGUUGGGGACAAAGUCAUGGGUAAAAUUUCAGAGGAUUUAUGGAAUACAAUCAGAACUGGUGAUGGCAUUCAAACUGAGAUAACCCAAACUGUUCAAUCAGUUUACAAUAAGUUAUUGAACCCACAACUAAAUGAAGCUGGUGAAUCAUCCUCUCAUUCAGAAUUGCAGCCUGCUCCGAAUGGAGUUGAAACUAACGGACAUAGUGCUGCUUCAGACCGUGGUAUUGAUGCCACAUUUUCUGUUGAUCCAGAGCCAAGUGAACCUCCUGGUUUUGCCCGAUUAGGUUCAGAUCAGAAUAGCAAAAGUAACUGUUCAAAUCAGAUUAACAAAACUAACCAUAAGGAAUCGCCCAAAGAGGAAUCAGGAUUUCCUAUUCCUGCUGAUGGAAAAGCCAGAGAAACACAUACCGAGCCGGAGACGAAUGGCGCACCUGACCCUUUGGUGCCUGACAGUAUGGAUGUGGAUGCACCACCUGGCUUUGCUAUUGUCACGAAGGAGAAGAAUCCAGAUGAUGUUGAUGAUGAAGAUCCUGAUGUGCCUCCAGGAUUUGGCUAAUCGCUUAUUAAGUUAUUAUACUUCUGGUAGUGUUUUUUGGAAAAGGUUAGCCAAUUCAGUUGGUCAUUGUCGUAUCAAGUUCAAACAGCUCGUGUUGACACUUACAGAGAGUACUUUACGUUGACUGCGCCGGCUAGCAGCUCAUGACUUCUCUUUCUUCAAUUUCCCAAGGAAUUGAUGCUGUGGAUUGGACAAAGGAAAAUUAGUUGCUCAUACCAAUUGGCAAGAAGGUAUACAACACUAACUUUAGGUACAAGAAGUGUUACUUAUUGGUUUUAGAAAGUUCAAGUAUGGUGGUUGGAAUUUGAAAUUAGGUUCGUUUGCCACUCUUGUAAUAUGAUUCGGUUUUUUACAACAUGGAAAGAUAGGCUUUUCCGAAGGUCUAUCGGAAGCAGUCUCUCUACUUCUACAAGGUAUGAGUAAGGUCUGCGUACACACUACCCUCCCUUGAAUCUUCGCUGGGUAUGUUGUCGUUUUGUUGUUUGAAAGUUAGGGUUUCGCAAUUACUUGAUCUAUUUAGUUUUAGCAGUUUCGUUUAAAACAUUGUAUUACCAUUUUAGUUGUUAAUGAAAUAACUGUCAUUUAAUUG